AGCAGCCGCGGUAAUUCCAGCUCCAAUAGCGUAUAUUAAAGUUGUUGCAGUUAAAAAGCUCGUAGUUGAAUUUCGGGAUUGGCGCAUCGGUCGUGCCUUACGGGGUAUGAACUGGUGCAGUCAAUUUCUCACCUUCUGGAGAACCGCGAUGUCCUUAAUUGGGUGCCGCGGGGAACCAGGACCUUUACUUUGAAAAAAUUAGAGUGUUUAAAGCAGGCAUUUUUGCUUGAAUACAUUAGCAUGGAAUAAUAAAAUAGGACGGCAUGGUUCUAUUUUGUUGGUUUCUAGGACCACCGUAAUGAUUAAUAGGGAUAGUUGGGGGCAUUAGUAUUCAAUUGUCAGAGGUGAAAUUCUUGGAUUUAUUGAAGACUAACUACUGCGAAAGCAUUUGCCAAGGAUGUUUUCAUUAAUCAAGAACGAAAGUUAGGGGAUCGAAGACGAUCAGAUACCGUCGUAGUCUUAACCAUAAACUAUGCCGACUAGGAAUCAGACGAUGUUAAUUUUUUCAAUGACUCGUUUG
This 520-nucleotide ribosomal RNA is filed under the name uncultured Entrophospora. RNAcentral describes it as "SSU rRNA". It matches the Rfam family "Eukaryotic small subunit ribosomal RNA", at positions 569 to 1082 of the family's 1831-position model. Lineage: Eukaryota; Fungi; Glomeromycota; Glomeromycetes; Entrophosporales; Entrophosporaceae. The record is from RNAcentral.